RNAcentral lists this ribosomal RNA (495 nucleotides) under uncultured bacterium. Its description in RNAcentral is "partial 16S ribosomal RNA". It matches the Rfam family "Bacterial small subunit ribosomal RNA", at positions 28 to 507 of the family's 1533-position model. The record is from RNAcentral.
GACGAACGCUGGCGGCGUGCCUAAUACAUGCAAGUAGAACGCUGAAGGAGGAGCUUGCUUCUCUGGAUGAGUUGCGAACGGGUGAGUAACGCGUAGGUAACCUGCCUGGUAGCGGGGGAUAACUAUUGGAAACGAUAGCUAAUACCGCAUAAUAGUAGAUGUCGCAUGACAUUUGCUUAAAAGGUGCAAUUGCAUCACUACCAGAUGGACCUGCGUUGUAUUAGCUAGUUGGUGAGGUAACGGCUCACCAAGGCAACGAUACAUAGCCGACCUGAGAGGGUGAGCGGCCACACUGGGACUGAGACACGGCCCAGACUCCUACGGGAGGCAGCAGUAGGGAAUCUUCGGCAAUGGACGGAAGGCUGACCGAGCAACGCCGCGUGAGUGAAGAAGGUUUUCGGAUCGGAAAGCUCUGUUGUAAGAGAAGAACGAGUGUGAGAGUGGAAAGUUCACACUGUGACGGUACCUUACCAGAAAGGGACGGCUAACUACGUG